This 336-nucleotide transfer-messenger RNA is filed under the name Rhodobiaceae bacterium. It matches the Rfam family "Alphaproteobacteria transfer-messenger RNA". Rfam says of the family: Bacterial tmRNA, also known as 10Sa RNA or SsrA, is named for its dual tRNA and mRNA-like properties. Lineage: Bacteria; Pseudomonadati; Pseudomonadota; Alphaproteobacteria; Hyphomicrobiales; Rhodobiaceae. The record is from RNAcentral.
AAACUUUAUUUGAUACGUAUUUGGGAUUAUNAUAGUUUUGCUCUUUGAGCUAUAGUAAUAAAUUGGCGUCAAAAUAAACUUAUCGGACCCGGGGGCGGUACCCGGCGCCUCCACCAAUAAAAAUUAUGGGGGGCGAAACAGGAUCGACGAGAGCGUAAAAGGCUACCCUUUACUCGGCAUUGUACCACCGUUAUCGGGCAAAUUUUAUAGUUGCAAAUGACAACUAUGCUCCGGUCGCAGUAGCUGCAUAGUCAGCUUGAGCACCGAAACUUAAGCCCUUAUCUCUAGCAAGAUAAGGCGGGGUUUGGGGGCACCUGGCAACAGAACGNCCCUUUA